GCAUACCAAGUAUCAAAGGCACUGCCUGCCCAGUGACAUCCGUUCAACGGCCGCGGUAUCCUGACCGUGCAAAGGUAGCAUAAUCACUUGUUCUCUAAAUAAGGACUUGUAUGAAUGGCCACACGAAGGUUUUACUGUCUCUUACUUCCAAUCAGUGAAAUUGACCUUCCCGUGAAGAGGCGGGAAUGCCCUAAUAAGACGAGAAGACCCUAUGGAGCUUUAGUUAAUCGACCCAAUAGAGAUAAAACCACAACCUACCAGGCCUAACCACCCUCUAUGUGGACGAACAACUUAGGUUGGGGUGACCUCGGAGAACAAAAAAACCUCCGAGUGAUUAAAGCCUAGACUAACAAGUCAAAGCACUAAAUCACUUAUUGAUCCAAAUCCUGAUCAACGGAAUAAGUUACCCUAGGGAUAACAGCGCAAUCCUAUUUAAGAGUCCAUAUCGACGAUAGGGUUUACGACCUCGAUGUUGGAUCAGGACAUCCUAAUGGUGUAGCAGCUAUUAAUGGUUCGUUUGUUCAACGAUUAAAGUCCU
RNAcentral lists this ribosomal RNA (538 nucleotides) under Hipposideros bicolor. RNAcentral describes it as "partial 16S ribosomal RNA". It matches the Rfam family "Bacterial large subunit ribosomal RNA", at positions 1834 to 2597 of the family's 2925-position model. Lineage: Eukaryota; Metazoa; Chordata; Mammalia; Chiroptera; Hipposideridae. The record is from RNAcentral.